UACGGGGGGGGCAAGCGUUGUUCGGAAUUACUGGGCGUAAAGGGCUCGUAGGCGGCCAACUAAGUCAGACGUGAAAUCCCUCGGCUUAACCGGGGAACUGCGUCUGAUACUGGAUGGCUUGAGUUUGGGAGAGGGAUGCGGAAUUCCAGGUGUAGCGGUGAAAUGCGUAGAUAUCUGGAGGAACACCAAUGGCGAAGGCAGCACUCUGGGACGUGACUGACGCUGAGACGCGAAAGCGUGGGGAGCAAACAGG
This 253-nucleotide ribosomal RNA is filed under the name uncultured bacterium. RNAcentral describes it as "partial 16S ribosomal RNA". It matches the Rfam family "Bacterial small subunit ribosomal RNA", at positions 524 to 776 of the family's 1533-position model. The record is from RNAcentral.